RNAcentral lists this ribosomal RNA (325 nucleotides) under uncultured eukaryote. RNAcentral's name for it is "partial 18S ribosomal RNA". It matches the Rfam family "Eukaryotic small subunit ribosomal RNA", at positions 1470 to 1796 of the family's 1831-position model. The record is from RNAcentral.
CCCUUAGAUGUCCUGGGCCGCACGCGCGCUACACUGAUGCAUUCAACGAGUUUUACCUUGGCCGAGAGGCCUGGGCAAUCUUUUAAACCUUCAUCGUGAUAGGGAUAGAUUAUUGCAAUUAUUAAUCUUGAACGAGGAAUUCCUAGUAAACGCAAAUCAUCAAUUUGCAUUGAUUACGUCCCUGCCCUUUGUACACACCGCCCGUCGCACCUACCGAUUGAAUGGUCCGGUGAAGCCUCGGGAUUGUGGCCAGUUCACUUUAUUGGGAGUUGGCUGUGAGAACUUGUCUAAACCUUAUCAUCUAGAGGAAGGUGAAGUCGUAACA